GUGCCUAUGGUAUAACGGUUAUUACUUCGGUUUGUGGAUCCGACAAUCUCGGUUCGAUUCCGAGUAGGCACCCA
This 74-nucleotide transfer RNA is filed under the name Candidatus Campbelliibacteriota bacterium. RNAcentral describes it as "Candidatus Campbellbacteria bacterium tRNA-His". It matches the Rfam family "tRNA". From Rfam's summary of the family: Transfer RNA (tRNA) molecules are approximately 80 nucleotides in length. Their secondary structure includes four short double-helical elements and three loops (D, anti-codon, and T loops). Further hydrogen bonds mediate the characteristic L-shaped molecular structure. tRNAs have two regions of fundamental functional importance: the anti-codon, which is responsible for specific mRNA codon recognition, and the 3' end, to which the tRNAs corresponding amino acid is attached (by aminoacyl-tRNA synthetases). tRNAs cope with the degeneracy of the genetic code in two manners: having more than one tRNA (with a specific anti-codon) for a particular amino acid; and 'wobble' base-pairing, i.e. permitting non-standard base-pairing at the 3rd anti-codon position. Lineage: Bacteria; Candidatus Campbelliibacteriota. The record is from RNAcentral.